GUGGGGAAUAUUGGACAAUGGGGGGAACCCUGAUCCAGCCAUGCCGCGUGUGUGAAGAAGGCCUUUUGGUUGUAAAGCACUUUAAGCGAGGAGGAGGCUACCGAGAUUAAUACUCUUGGAUAGUGGACGUUACUCGCAGAAUAAGCACCGGCUAACUCUGCGCCAGCAGCCGCGGUAAUACAGAGGGUGCAAGCGUUAAUCGGAUUUACUGGGCGUAAAGCGCGCGUAGGUGGCCAAUUAAGUCAAAUGUGAAAUCCCCGAGCUUAACUUGGGAAUUGCGUUCGAUACUGGUUGGCUAGAGUAUGGGAGAGGAUGGUAGAAUUCCAGGUGUAGCGGUGAAAUGCGUAGAGAUCUGGAGGAAUACCGAUGGCGAAGGCAGCCAUCUGGCCUAAUACUGACACUGAGGUGCGAAAGCAUGGGGAGCAAACAGGAUUAGAAACCCGAGUAGUCC
This 451-nucleotide ribosomal RNA is filed under the name uncultured bacterium. Its description in RNAcentral is "bacterial SSU rRNA". It matches the Rfam family "Bacterial small subunit ribosomal RNA", at positions 354 to 796 of the family's 1533-position model. The record is from RNAcentral.